This is a long non-coding RNA of Glycine soja, 1264 nucleotides long. RefSeq lists it as uncharacterized. Lineage: Eukaryota; Viridiplantae; Streptophyta; Magnoliopsida; Fabales; Fabaceae. The transcript has 7 exons. The record is from RefSeq and is a predicted model, not a curated record.
AACUGCUUCCUUUUUAUUUUUGCAACCUAUCAUUGCCUUUCGCUCGCGCUCUCUUAGUCUCUCACACAACUCUCUCUCACACACUACAAGAGCCACAAAUCUAGCCAAAGAAGUUAUAGAUCUGGCAUCCAAAGUUGUAGUUUCGUCGUUUGCGACCCUCCCACCUCCUCCAUCGUGGGAUUUGUGAGUACCGCCGCCACGGUCAUCGUCACUGUAGUCCAGUGCUAGCUUUUGGAACACCACGCUAGAGUAUGCCACCGCCGCAUUACCCUCAUAUUCUUUAGCGGACAUGGGCAAUGCAGGAGCAUGUUCAUCCAAACGCAACCCACGCCAAAUCCCUCGUCUCUCAUGUUUUAUCCCGGAAAGCCUGUCAUGGAAAUUGGAAGUUCCGCCGUCAAUUCUUCCCUUGCUAAAUCGCUCUUCGCAGUCAACAGUCUCUUUCUUUUCUUCUCUUUUCAUCUUGUGUUUAUGGAUUCCUCUAUGCUUAUUGUCAUUGUGCAAGCAUUACUCGCAUUUUCUUUGGAUCCAAUUUCAUUACUAUUACCAAAUCCGAAGAGGCUGAGUGGGAAUUCCUCAAGCCAAAAAUAUUUGUCGCCAUUAUGGAUUUCUACUCCUCCAGUCAAGCUCUCUUUUUAGAUUCACCAAGAUGAUUCUGAAAGAGUUGCAAUGAUCAAGGAAUUGUUAGAGACAUGCAUUUGACCGGCAGUGCAGGAAAAUGGUGGGGACAUUGAAUAUAGAGAUUUUGGACCGAGGUUGCCUACCCUAUCUAAGUAGGAUAACAUCUGCCAUGGCAGCUACAUAUCCAAACUAUGCGUGGAGCAUGUUGAAAACAUAGGGAUUCAUUAUUACCAUACACUCAGAGGUUGGAGAAAAACCUUCUUGGAAAGGUAAAGGUAUAUUACUUAUACACAAGGCACAUCAAUGGUUUUGCUGCAACUUUGGAUGAAGAAGUAGUUGAUGAUAUAUAAGCACCCCCAAAGUAUUGUUAGUGUUUGAGAAUAGAGGGAGAAAGCAACACACCACUCGAUCAUGGGAUUUCAUGGGCUAAAGCAUAAUGGGGUGAUCCUGAUUUGGUGAGGGAGUCAUCAUUGGAAACCUAGAUACAUGUAAGUUUUCUUGAUUUAUGUAUUUUAAAACUCUUGUUAUUCUUUUCAAAGUGGUUGACUGCACCUUGGAAUUAAUGGGGUGCAGUUAUUAUAUUAUGAUGGUUUAAUCUAGAUCAUUGACUUAUACACACAUGUGGAACAUACACAAAGUUAUCUCA